RNAcentral lists this ribosomal RNA (1180 nucleotides) under uncultured bacterium. RNAcentral describes it as "bacterial SSU rRNA". It matches the Rfam family "Bacterial small subunit ribosomal RNA", at positions 17 to 1178 of the family's 1533-position model. The record is from RNAcentral.
UCAUGGCUCAGGAUGAACGCUAGCUACAGGCCUAACACAUGCAAGUCGUGGGGCAGCGGAUAUGUUUUGUUUUUCAAGCAUAUGCCGGCGACCGGCGCACGGGUGAGUAACGCGUAUCCAACCUGCCCAUCACAAGGGAAUAACCCGUCGAAAGUCGGCCUAAUGCCCUAUGUAUUCCGAUGAAGUCCUCUGAAUCGGAAUAAAGCUUUUGCGGUGAUGGAUGGGGAUGCGUCUGAUUAGCUUGUCGGCGGGGUAACGGCCCACCGAGGCGACGAUCAGUAGGGGUUCUGAGAGGAAGGUCCCCCACAUUGGAACUGAGACACGGUCCAAACUCCUACGGGAGGCAGCAGUGAGGAAUAUUGGUCAAUGGGCGUGAGCCUGAACCAGCCAAGUAGCGUGCAGGAUGACGGCCCUAUGGGUUGUAAACUGCUUUUAUACGGGGAUAAAAGGGUGAACGUGUUCUCCUUUGCAGGUACCGUAUGAAUAAGGACCGGCUAAUUCCGUGCCAGCAGCCGCGGUAAUACGGAAGGUCCUGGCGUUAUCCGGAUUUAUUGGGUUUAAAGGGAGCGCAGGCUGCACUUUAAGCGUGUUGUGAAAUGUACCGGCUCAACCGGUAACGUGCAGCGCGAACUGGGGUGCCUGAGUACGAAGAGGGAAGGCGGAACUCGUGGUGUGGCGGUGAAAUGCUUAGAUAUCACGAGGAACUCCGAUCGCGAAGGCAGCUUUCCGUUUCGGAACUGACGCUGAGGCUCGAAAGUGCGGGUAUCGAACAGGAUUAGAUACCCUGGUAGUCCGCACGGUAAACGAUGGAUGCUCGCUGUUGGAUAUUUUUAUUCAGUGGCUAAGUGAAAACGUUAAGCAUCCCACCUGGGGAGUACGCCGGCAACGGUGAAAACUCAAAGGAAUUGACGGGGGCCCGCACAAGCGGAGGAAACAUGUGGUUUAAUUCGAUGAUACGCGAGGAACCUUACCCGGGCUUGAAUUGCAGCUGAACGAAUCCAGAGAUGGUGAGGCCCUUCGGGGCAGCUGUGAAGGUGCUGCAUGGUUGUCGUCAGCUCGUGCCGUGAGGUGUCGGCUUAAAGUGCCAUAAACGAGCGCGAACCCCUCUCCGCAGUUGCCAUCGGUUGAUGCCGGGCGACUCUGCGGACACUGCCUCCGCGAAGGAGUGAGGAAAGGUGGG